AUGGAUCGCCUACAUAGGCAGCGAUGCCCUGGCGAUCUAUGCCCUCGCCACCCUCUUCGCCACAAGCAUCCGACAACGAUGAUGCCGCCUGGGGAGGGUGGUGGUGGCACCACCUCCACAGCCGCCACCGCACUGGAGGUCACGUGGGUGCCUGUCCUGCUCAUCCGCCUCGCCGGCCAUCCAAUGAUAAGUGCCUACAGCCUCGAGGACAAUGAGUUAUGGAAGCGGCAUGCCAUAACCUUUGUGUCUCAAGUCAUGGUUGCCUUAUACGUCUUCUGCAAGUGGUGGUCUGGCGAGAAGAGACUGCUGCAGGCAGCAGUUCUGCUAUUCAUCGUUGGCAUCCUUAAAUUUGGCCAGAAGCCAUGGGCCCUCAAGACGGCCAGCUUCAACAACAUGCUGGACUCCAUUCCUAUGACGCUGCGCGAAGGUAAAGGAGAAGAAAGAGACCUUACCCUCGAAGAAUAUGUUCAUAAAGCAAAGGGGGGUGUGCUGGACAUGAAAGAAACAGUGAGCCAAGAGGUAAUAACCAUUAGCAAUAAGCUGCUCAACUAUGUAUGGCAGCUUGCAUCGUCACUCCUUGCAGGUGCAGAGGCCGGGGGCUUGCCUCUUUUCAAAGAUAAAAAAAUGUUCGCCGACAUGUCUGCUCCAUACUCUGUUCGGCUGAAGGAGCUGCAAUAUUUCAUGAAGCUUGACGACAAGGACGCUCAUGAUAUGUUGCAGCGGUGCCUCGCAGAUACAUUUGAGCAUCUGUACAGCAGAAUGAGAUCAGUGUACAAGCCUCUUAGUGCCUUCUUACGGACGCCGAUUCCGUCCUUGUGCAUAGCCUCCGUGGUGCUCCUGGCUAAGAGCAACAUGGAUGGUUAUGACAAGAACGAUGUUAGGGUGACAUACAUCCUCUACUGUGGCUGUCUUCUCAUGGAGUUCUUGCCUGCAAUCUUAACCAGCUUCUACCUACCUUUCCAAUGUUGCCGUCCAAUGUUCUCACGCAGAUAG
RNAcentral lists this ribosomal RNA (993 nucleotides) under Triticum aestivum (bread wheat). Its description in RNAcentral is "partial small subunit ribosomal RNA". The record is from RNAcentral. Lineage: Eukaryota; Viridiplantae; Streptophyta; Magnoliopsida; Poales; Poaceae.